AGACGUCUACAUUAGACUACCCGGUAGUCCCAGCCGUAAACUAUGCGCGUUAGGUGUAUCGGUGACCACGAGUUACCGAGGUGCCGAAGGGAAACCGUGAAACGUGCCGCCUGGGAAGUACGGUCGCAAGGCUGAAACUUAAAGGAAUUGGCGGGGAGCACCACAACAGGUGGAGCCUGCGGUUUAAUUGGACUCAACGCCGGGAAGCUCACCGGAUAGGACAGCAGAAUGAUUGCCGGGCUGAAGACUCUGCAUGACUAGCUG
Molecule: ribosomal RNA, 264 nt
Filed under: uncultured archaeon
Lineage: Archaea
Description: partial 16S ribosomal RNA
Rfam family: Archaeal small subunit ribosomal RNA
Source: RNAcentral